GGGUGCGUAACGCGUAUGCAAUCUACCUUUUACAGAGGGAUAGCCCAGAGAAAUUUGGAUUAAUACCUCAUAGUAUAGUGAGUUGGCAUCAACACACUAUUAAAGUCACAACGGUAAAAGAUGAGCAUGCGUCCCAUUAGCUAGUUGGUAAGGUAACGGCUUACCAAGGCAACGAUGGGUAGGGGUCCUGAGAGGGAGAUCCCCCACACUGGUACUGAGACACGGACCAGACUCCUACGGGAGGCAGCAGUGAGGAAUAUUGGUCAAUGGGCGCAAGCCUGAACCAGCCAUGCCGCGUGCAGGAUGACGGUCCUAUGGAUUGUAAACUGCUUUUGCACAGGAAGAAACACUCGGUCGUGACCGAGCUUGACGGUACUGUGAGAAUAAGGAUCGGCUAACUC
RNAcentral lists this ribosomal RNA (401 nucleotides) under Flavobacterium psychrophilum. Its description in RNAcentral is "bacterial SSU rRNA". It matches the Rfam family "Bacterial small subunit ribosomal RNA", at positions 104 to 503 of the family's 1533-position model. Lineage: Bacteria; Pseudomonadati; Bacteroidota; Flavobacteriia; Flavobacteriales; Flavobacteriaceae. The record is from RNAcentral.